Molecule: ribosomal RNA, 500 nt
Filed under: uncultured bacterium
Lineage: Bacteria
Description: partial 16S ribosomal RNA
Rfam family: Bacterial small subunit ribosomal RNA
Source: RNAcentral
AUUGAACGCUGGCGGCAUGCCUUACACAUGCAAGUCGAACGGCAGCACGGGAGCAAUCCUGGUGGCGAGUGGCGAACGGGUGAGUAAAGUAUCGGAACGUGCCCAGUCGUGGGGGAUAACGUAGCGAAAGUUACGCUAAUACCGCAUACGAUCUAUGGAUGAAAGCGGGGGAUCGCAAGACCUCGCGCGAUUGGAGCGGCCGAUAUCAGAUUAGGUAGUUGGUGGGGUAAAGGCUCACCAAGCCGACGAUCUGUAGCUGGUCUGAGAGGACGACCAGCCACACUUGGACUGAGACACGGCCCAGACUCCUACGGGAGGCAGCAGUGGGGAAUUUUGGACAAUGGGCGAAAGCCUGAUCCAGCCAUGCCGCGUGCAGGAUGAAGGCCUUCGGGUUGUAAACUGCUUUUGUACGGAACGAAAAGGUUUGACUUAAUACGUUGGACUCAUGACGGUACCGUAAGAAUAAGCACCGGCUAACUACGUGCCAGCCGCCGCGGUAA